UACGAAGGGUGCAAACGUUAUUCGGAAUCACUGGGCGUAAAGGGUGCGUAGACGGUAUGUUAAGUUCGUUGUUAAAGGCUCCGGCCUAACCGGAGUACCGCAAUGAAAACUGGCGUGCUAGAGGGUGAGAGAGAGAAGUGGAAUUCCCGGAGUAGCGGUAAAAUGCGUGGAUCUCGGGAGGAACACCAAUGGCGAAGGCAGCUUCUUGGCUCAUUCCUGACGUUGAGGCACGAAAGCGUGGGGAGCAAACAGG
This 253-nucleotide ribosomal RNA is filed under the name uncultured bacterium. RNAcentral's name for it is "partial 16S ribosomal RNA". It matches the Rfam family "Bacterial small subunit ribosomal RNA", at positions 524 to 776 of the family's 1533-position model. The record is from RNAcentral.